ACCUGAAAUCAGCGUAACCCUAACGUUUGUAGGUGA
This 36-nucleotide small RNA is filed under the name Bombyx mori (domestic silkworm). RNAcentral's name for it is "ovarian small RNA-11364". Lineage: Eukaryota; Metazoa; Arthropoda; Insecta; Lepidoptera; Bombycidae. The record is from RNAcentral.